CCUACGGGGUGCAGCAGUCGAGAAUCAUUCACAAUGGGGGAAACCCUGAUGGUGCGACGCCGCGUGGGGGAAUGAAGGUCUUCGGAUUGUAAACCCCUGUCAUGUGGGAGCAAAUUAAAAAGAUAGUACCACAAGAGGAAGAGACGGCUAACUCUGUGCCAGCAGCCGCGGUAAUACAGAGGUCUCAAGCGUUGUUCGGAAUCACUGGGCGUAAAGCGUGCGUAGGCUGUUUCGUAAGUCGUGUGUGAAAGGCGCGGGCUCAACCCGCGGACGGCACAUGAUACUGCGAGACUAGAGUAAUGGAGGGGGAACCGGAAUUCUCGGUGUAGCAGUGAAAUGCGUAGAUAUCGAGAGGAACACUCGUGGCGAAGGCGGGUUCCUGGACAUUAACUGACGCUGAGGCACGAAGGCCAGGGGAGCGAGAGGGAUUAGAUACCCGAGUAGUC
Molecule: ribosomal RNA, 446 nt
Filed under: uncultured bacterium
Lineage: Bacteria
Description: partial 16S ribosomal RNA
Rfam family: Bacterial small subunit ribosomal RNA
Source: RNAcentral